RNAcentral lists this long non-coding RNA (1053 nucleotides) under Cairina moschata (Muscovy duck). RNAcentral describes it as "domestica (muscovy Duck (domestic type)) lncRNA (ENSCMMG00000003548.1)". The record is from RNAcentral. Lineage: Eukaryota; Metazoa; Chordata; Aves; Anseriformes; Anatidae.
GGGAUUUAGGUGGAAUUUGUGGAAAUUGGACAUUUUGUGCGGAAAUUGGGAGGCUUUAGGCGGGAUUCGAAAGGAUGUAGGGCGAAAAUAAGCGAUAUAAGGGAAAAUUUGGUGGAUUUAAGGCAGAAUUUGGCUGAUUGAAUGUAGAUUUAGCCAUUUUGAGGCGGAUCGCCGCCAUUUUGGGACCGAGCGGGCGGGCGGUCGUGAGGAGGGAGGGAGGGAGGGGGCGUGGCCACGCGUUAACCCCGCCCCCUCCAUUUAACACCACGGCCCCGCCCCCCUCCGGCGCCGCACUGCGCCGGGCCGAGCGGCUCCGGAAAGAGCCGAAGGUUUCCGAACCCUCCCCGAGCCCCUCCCGAACCCUUCCGAACCCUUCCGAACCUUUCCGAACCCUCCCGAACCCUCCCCGAGCCCCUCCCGAACCCCUCCGAACCCUUCCGAACCUUUCCGAACCCUCCCGAACCCUCCCCGAGCCCCUCCCGGCCCCCGAAGGCUUCCGAAGAGCCCCGAAAGGAGCCGAAGCGGCCCCGAGCCCCCCCCGCGGCCAUGCCGUGAAGCCCCCUCCUCACCCCGGGCCCUCAGCAGCCUCCGGGACCCCCCCCCCCGUUCCCUCCUCCCCCCCCGCGGGCACCGGGAUCCGGCGGGGGAGGGGCUCAUGGCCGGGGCAGGGGGCUGAGGGGGGGCGGCGGGGCGGGAAGGGCCGAAAGGAGCCGAAGAGACCCGAAAGGAGCCGAACCCGGCCCGAAGAGACCCGAACCCGGCCCGAGCCGGGCCCGGCCCCGCCAUGGCCCUCAGCGGCCUCUCGCUGCUCCUCGGCCUCCUCAUGGCUUCGGGGGCGCAGGGGGGCUGCGUGGAGGUGGAUUCGGAGACGGAGGCGGUGCUGGGGCUGCCCUUCAAGCUGCUGUGCAUCGCCUGCAAGCGCCGCAGCGAGACCCCCGCCGAGGCCGAGGGCGAGUGGUUCUUCCGCCCCGAGGGCGCCCCCGACUUCACCAAGGUAUGGGGGGGACGCUUAUAGGGCCGGGGGGGGCGCUUAUAGGGUCGGGGGGGUGUUUG